Molecule: ribosomal RNA, 253 nt
Filed under: uncultured bacterium
Lineage: Bacteria
Description: partial 16S ribosomal RNA
Rfam family: Bacterial small subunit ribosomal RNA
Source: RNAcentral
UACGAAAGGUGCAAGCGUUACUCGGAAUUACUGGGCGUAAAGCGUGCGUAGGUGGUGAGUUAAGUCUGUCGUGAAAGCCCCGGGCUCAACCUGGGAAUGGCGAUGGAUACUGGCUCGCUAGAGUGCGGUAGAGGAGAGUGGAAUUCCCGGUGUAGCAGUGAAAUGCGUAGAGAUCGGGAGGAACAUCAGUUGCGAAGGCGGCUCUCUGGACCAGCACUGACACUGAGGCACGAAAGCGUGGGGAGCAAACAGG